Brachypodium distachyon (stiff brome) is the source of this 1026-nucleotide long non-coding RNA. RefSeq lists it as uncharacterized. The transcript is spliced from 3 exons. Lineage: Eukaryota; Viridiplantae; Streptophyta; Magnoliopsida; Poales; Poaceae. The record is from RefSeq and is a predicted model, not a curated record.
GCCAAGGAGGAGAAGAAGGUGGCUGCGCCGGCACUCGUGCCGGUGAAGCAGGAGCUGGGAGUCAUCCGCAUCGACUCCGACGAUGACUCCGGCUUCAACUUCGACAGCUCCGUCCACAACGGCGGCGGCGACGACAGCGUGGGCGACUCGUGGAUGGAACACCUAAACGACUAGUUUUUUUAUUAUUAUUAUGUAUCGCCUUAAUUUGAUGAAUGUUUUGCGACGGGAGGCGGUUGCCUUCCCACCUUCACGUGCAGGUGCAGCAGCAUAGGCAAGGCGGGAAUUCAUCUGAACACGGAGAAUUAUGGGGAGAUGGUGCUCUUAUCAUGUCCUCAGCGUAGAUCCGGGCGGGUGGAGUAUGAAAACCCCUGGAACAAUGGAUCCUACAGUGUGGUGGCGGGUGAUGUAUGAAAACCGCUGGAACAAUGACUUCCCCGCGACCAGAAUCUCAUCCCCAAAUCUGCCCCUAUCGGUAACGGCACCCUUCCAUCCACUCCAACAGAGCCAAUUCCACCAUAAAUCUCUGUCACAGGGCUACAAGCUGAGGGCGAUCGGGAGAUGCUGAUAGAAGGAGCUAGAAUGCUGCAACAGGAGGCCUUGAGGAACCACCUAGUUCAAGCGUCGCUGGACACGAAGCGCAUCUUGGACAAGAAUGGCAAGGACAUGAGCAAGUAAAGGGAGGCUGGUCUGGAGAUCUGAUGUUUUGUGAAAGUGCUACGUGCUGCAUCGUCAAGUUGAAGCACUGUGUUGGUUGAAAAGUAAUCGUUGGCUGGUUGCCUGCACGCUGGUUGAUAACUUGCUGCUCUGAGAUUUUGGCUGGCGAUAGUGGAUAUCGUUUGUAUAUCGUUUGAACUUGCCUUUCAGUUCCUGUUCUUUUCUUUCAUGUUGCUAAGACUAUGAGUCUCUUGUUAGCCGUAGGCGGCAAGUGUGUGUCAAACUCUGUGGGGCGUGAACUCUUUUGUGUUGUUCCGUUAUCCUUGGAUAGUGGAACCCGAUCAGUUCGCUGAUCGUAAGGAAGAAAAAAAA